GUGAAACCAGGACGCCAGUUUUGGCGGAGCCAUCCUUGGGAUACCACCCUUGUAGUACUGGGACUCUAACCAUAGGCCAUGAAUCUGGUCUUGGGACACUGUCAGGUGGGCAGUUUGACUUGGGCGGGCGCCUCCCAAAAGGUAACGGAGGCGCUCAAAGGUUCUCUCAGUACGGUCGGAAAUCGUACGUAGAGUGUAAAGGCAAAAGAGAGCUGGAUUGCAAGACAUACAGGUCGAGCAAGGAUGAAAA
This 250-nucleotide ribosomal RNA is filed under the name Clostridioides difficile. Its description in RNAcentral is "partial 23S ribosomal RNA". It matches the Rfam family "Bacterial large subunit ribosomal RNA", at positions 2157 to 2405 of the family's 2925-position model. Lineage: Bacteria; Bacillati; Bacillota; Clostridia; Peptostreptococcales; Peptostreptococcaceae. The record is from RNAcentral.